UCCCCGUUGGCCGGGGCAGUCUCGCCUGAAAAAUCCAACAGACGACAAGGGUUGCGCUCGUUGCGGGACUUAACCCAACAUCUCACGACACGAGCUGACGACGGCCAUGCAGCACCUGUCACCAGUCCAGCCGAACUGACUCUCUUGUUUCCAAGAGAUACGACUGGGAUGUCAAGCCUUGGUAAGGUUCUUCGCGUAUCUUCGAAUUAAACCACAUGCUCCACCGCUUGUGCGGGUCCCCGUCAAUUCCUUUGAGUUUUAGCCUUGCGGCCGUACUCCCCAGGCGGGAUACUUAACGCGUUAGCUUCUUAGCACAGAGGGUCGAUACUCCAUACUAACAGUAUCCAUCGUUUACGGCGUGGACUAC
RNAcentral lists this unclassified non-coding RNA (367 nucleotides) under uncultured bacterium. Its description in RNAcentral is "contains 16S-23S intergenic spacer region". The record is from RNAcentral.